Molecule: ribosomal RNA, 490 nt
Filed under: uncultured bacterium
Lineage: Bacteria
Description: partial 16S ribosomal RNA
Rfam family: Bacterial small subunit ribosomal RNA
Source: RNAcentral
AGUGAACGCUGGCGGCAGGCCUAAUACAUGCAAGUCGAACGGCAGCACAGUGGAGCUUGCUCCAUGGGUGGCGAGUGGCGGACGGGUGAGGAAUACAUGGGAAUCUGCCCAGUCGUGGGGGAUAACGUAGGGAAACUUACGCUAAUACCGCAUACGCCCUUCGGGGGAAAGCCGGGGACCUUCGGGCCUGGCGCGAUUGGAUGAGCCCAUGUUCGAUUAGCUAGUUGGCGGGGUAAAGGCCCACCAAGGCGACGAUCGAUAGCUGGUCUGAGAGGAUGAUCAGCCACACUGGGACUGAGACACGGCCCAGACUCCUACGGGAGGCAGCAGUAGGGAAUAUUGGAAGAAGGGCGCAAGCCUGAUCCAGCCAUGCCGCGUGAGUGAAGAAGGCCCUCGGGUUGUAAAGCUCUUUUGUCCGGGAAGAAAAGCAUCGGGCUAAUACCUCGGUGUUCUGACGGUACCGGAAGAAUAAGCACCGGCUAACUUCGUG